AGAGAGGAUACGCAUGGACAGCGUGGGCUCACCCUCUGCUCCUCCGAGCACUCGGACUCGGACCAAGAGGAGAUUGAGGUGGACGUGGAGUCUACAGAGUUCUCGGAGCACGGAGAACUGGACUCGGUUUCUACGGCCUCCACCAGCGAUCUAGACGACCACAGCAGCCUUCAGAGUCUAGCCAGCGACGAGGGCUACUCCAGCUGCAGCAUCCUCAAACUCUCCUCAGCCUUCUCCGGAUCCUCCUCAUAGGAGAUGGCUGUUGGGUGUAGACUCCUCCCCCCCGGCUCCAAUCUGCAACCUCGGGGGGCUAAAUCAACAUCCAAAGACCAACCACCUGAACCUGUCCAGCGACGAAGGUUACGAGGGCAGACGUUAAUCCAGCGUCCUCGUCAAACUCAGCGCCUUCUCUGACCGGCCGAUUAGAGUUGUCUCCAGCCCCAGCUCCAACCUACAAACACCUUGGCCUCCCCCUCCAUCCACCACCCCUGUUGUGUGUCGUCAUGUCACCCAUCUACAUGUAUCAUCGCCGACUACACCAUCGCCAUGGCAUCCCUCAAGUGGCGCCCUGACAUCCUUCUAACUUCCUGUCUGUAACCCCUCGCCAUCGCACCAUCCGUCGCUCUGCUCCAACUCGCUGCUGAACCUCAACCCCCAGUCUGAGAACAACCCUCCCCCCCUCGGAACCCCUCAACCCCCCUCCGUCCCAAGCAGAAGGUCCAACCCCCCGUAUCGUCCCGAUAACGGGUACAUGAAGAACAGAGAUCGAUCCAAACACAGAA
Molecule: long non-coding RNA, 782 nt
Organism: Oncorhynchus gorbuscha (pink salmon)
Lineage: Eukaryota; Metazoa; Chordata; Actinopteri; Salmoniformes; Salmonidae
Exons: 2
Source: RefSeq, a predicted model, not a curated record